This is a long non-coding RNA of Camelus dromedarius (Arabian camel), 372 nucleotides long. RefSeq lists it as uncharacterized. The record is from RefSeq and is a predicted model, not a curated record. The transcript has 3 exons. Lineage: Eukaryota; Metazoa; Chordata; Mammalia; Artiodactyla; Camelidae.
CAAUGAGAUUGCCUUAAGAGGCUGCUCUGGUUGGAGUUGGAGCCCGGAGCUACAACUGGCAGACAGAUGGGAAGACACAGAGAGAGAAAGCAGCCACAGGCCAAAAGAGCACUCUCACCAGGAACCGACCACGCCAGCAUCUCCAUCCUGGACUUCCCAGCCUCUGGAAUGGUGAAACUCCAGAUGACCUUCCCGGACACCUAAUGACCUUCAGAGUUGGAUGAAAAAGUUCCAGAUCAGUCAACGGCAGAGGUGGCAGCUGGGUGGAUAAAUAAUUGACCCUAAUCUCUUUAUGAUUUAAAAAGUAAUCUCUUUCUUUUUUUCCCCUAGAGUCAAAGGUUUCACAGGGUGAGGGGAACAAAUUCGCUUACU